UACGGAGGGGGCUAGCGUUGUUCGGAAUUACUGGGCGUAAAGGGCUCGUAGGCGGCCAACUAAGUCAGACGUGAAAUCCCUCGGCUUAACCGGGGAACUGCGUCUGAUACUGGAUGGCUUGAGUUCGGGAGAGGGAUGCGGAAUUCCAGGUGUAGCGGUGAAAUGCGUAGAUAUCUGGAGGAACACCGGUGGCGAAGGCGGCAUCCUGGACCGAUACUGACACUGAGGAGCGAAAGCCAGGGGAGCAAACGGG
This 253-nucleotide ribosomal RNA is filed under the name uncultured bacterium. RNAcentral's name for it is "partial 16S ribosomal RNA". It matches the Rfam family "Bacterial small subunit ribosomal RNA", at positions 524 to 776 of the family's 1533-position model. The record is from RNAcentral.